Molecule: ribosomal RNA, 440 nt
Filed under: uncultured bacterium
Lineage: Bacteria
Description: partial 16S ribosomal RNA
Rfam family: Bacterial small subunit ribosomal RNA
Source: RNAcentral
CCUACGGGAGGCAGCAGUAGGGAAUAUUGCUCAAUGGGGGAAACCCUGAAGCAGCAACGCCGCGUGGAGGAUGAAGGUUUUAGGAUUGUAAACUCCUUUUGUUAGAGAAGAUUAUGACGGUAUCUAACGAAUAAGCACCGGCUAACUCCGUGCCAGCAGCCGCGGUAAUACGGAGGGUGCAAGCGUUACUCGGAAUCACUGGGCGUAAAGAGUGCGUAGGCGGGGUAAUAAGUCAGAUGUGAAAUCCUGUGGCUUAAAUACAGAACUGCAUUUGAAACUGUUACUCUGGAGUGUGGGAGAGGUAGGUAGAAUUCUUGGUGUAGGGGUAAAAUCCGUAGAGAUCAAGAGGAAUACUCAUUGCGAAGGCGACCUGCUGGAACAUUACUGACGCUGAUGCGCGAAAGCGUGGGGAGCAAACAGGAUUAGAUACCCCAGUAGUC